CUACGGGCGGCUCCAGUGGGGAAUAUUGCACAAUGGGCGAAAGCCUGAUGCAGCAACGCCGCGUGAGCGAUGAAGGCCUUCGGGUCGUAAAGCUCUGUCCUCAAGGAAGAUAAUGACGGUACUUGAGGAGGAAGCCCCGGCUAACUACGUGCCAGCAGCCGCGGUAAUACGUAGGGGGCUAGCGUUAUCCGGAAUUACUGGGCGUAAAGGGUGCGUAGGUGGUUUCUUAAGUCAGAGGUGAAAGGCUACGGCUCAACCGUAGUAAGCCUUUGAAACUGAGAAACUUGAGUGCAGGAGAGGAGAGUAGAAUUCCUAGUGUAGCGGUGAAAUGCGUAGAUAUUAGGAGGAAUACCAGUUGCGAAGGCGGCUCUCUGGACUGUAACUGACACUGAGGCACGAAAGCGUGGGGAGCAAACAGGAUUAGAUACCCGCGUAGUC
This 438-nucleotide ribosomal RNA is filed under the name uncultured bacterium. RNAcentral describes it as "partial 16S ribosomal RNA". It matches the Rfam family "Bacterial small subunit ribosomal RNA", at positions 339 to 795 of the family's 1533-position model. The record is from RNAcentral.